Cyprinus carpio (common carp) is the source of this 1153-nucleotide long non-coding RNA. The record is from Ensembl. NCBI's taxonomy places the organism in Eukaryota, Metazoa, Chordata, Actinopteri, Cypriniformes, Cyprinidae.
AUGUUUGUGUGUGUGGGGGACAUAUGUGUGUGCAGUGUCUCUAGACGCAGUAAUCCUGCCAGACCUAAUUACUGCUCUCUAUCCCUCCUUCUCUCUCUCUCUCUCUCUCUCUCUUUCUCUCUCUCUCUCUCUAGCUCUCAGAGUGGAGUUUUGAGUUGGCUCUCUCAUGGGUUCAGCAGUGCUCUCCCUCAGCCAGUAAACUCCUCUAAACUGGCCAACAGUGAAGUUAAGGGCUGGAAUGAUAGGCUGGAUUGUGCAGGAACUGGGAAAAGUGGUUCCACAGCCAGAUGAGAAAUACAAGGUCCACACAGAGACGGAGGAGGUCACUGAGGUGCAAGAGGUCAAAAACGUUCGUGGUGAGUUCAGCCUCUUAAUCGGCACGUCAUAUAGAUCAGUAUAAACUUUGGCUUUCUGAAUUUGCAUUGCAAAGGGCCGAUGAGAGAGGACACAAAACACGUGACAUGAAUCUCACUCUCACCAGAUGCUGAGCCACUGCCUCAUAUUCCUGUGGUGGAGGUUGUGCCUGAUGAGGAACCAGACGCUGCUAAUGUGCCUUUCUCUCCCAGGUAUAUGUAUAUACUGUAUCAGCUGUCAGAAGCUAAUCUGAACUCUCAUUCUGGCUGAACACUUUUAACCUAUCUGUUUCUUUCUCUUUCAGGGUAAUAGAAUGGAUUAAGCAUGGUUUUGAGAAAGUAGUUCCUCAGUCUCCUGUCCAUCUUCGUCCUCCCGCUAGCACCGAUGCACCCGCCCAGAAGGUUGCUUCUGCACCUGUGACUCCCUGCAAACAAGAGCCAGGUAACAUUUUAAAAAUCAAGAAUGUUAGUCUUUCUUGGUGACAGAGUGGUCUGCGUGUGACAUUUUUCUUUUAUUUAGCACCUGCACCUGCACCUGCACCAACACCUGCUCCUGCACCUCCACCUGUGCCUGCACCUGCACCAGCACCAGCACCAACACCUGCACCUGCACCUGCAGCCCCACCUGCACCUGCACCUGCAGCUCCUGAGCAACCUAAAGUAGCUGAGGAUUCCAAAGGCAUGAAGUGAGUGUCCACCUGCUUCCCUUAAAAUGUCUAUGGUUAUGCUCCAACCCGAUUUCAUGAAAGUGCGUAUAAAUAGUAUGCCAAAAAAAUAAAAACUUGUGGUAUUGAUACGCA